This is a long non-coding RNA of Artibeus jamaicensis (Jamaican fruit-eating bat), 2252 nucleotides long. RefSeq lists it as uncharacterized. The transcript is spliced from 4 exons. NCBI's taxonomy places the organism in Eukaryota, Metazoa, Chordata, Mammalia, Chiroptera, Phyllostomidae. The record is from RefSeq and is a predicted model, not a curated record.
UCGACCAGAGAGUUAUGGGAGCCGGCAGAACCUGGGGUUCCGCGUCCUGCCAGCGGUGCAAGAUUGCGUCACUGGCCGCGAGCCAAGACGUGAGCCUGCGCAGAAGGCAGUGAAGGCGCCUCUGCGGCUGAGGCGUGGCGCAGGCGGCGUGGGCAGCCUCAAAAGGAUCUGAAUCACCAGACUGUUUCCCAUGGUGGCUGAACCAGUCUGCAUUCCCACCUACAGUGAAUGUAGACAACCUCUCCAACACUUAUUAUCACUUGUCUUGUUGAUAACAGCCCUUCUAACAGGUAACGGCAUUUUACUCUAGCUAUCUUUAAAAGGCAUGCUGCCUGAGCCAAGGAGAGAUACAGCUGGAGUUUGGGGACAGUGGAGGGGUCUGGCCUGAAGUUUGGUCUUCCCCAUCAAGGAGGAUUAUAGGAUGGUCCUCCAUGGGUGUGAUGUGUGGAAGCAGAGUACAACCUUCAAGGACUGAUUUUGACAUAUUCAGAGGCCCAUGGCAUCAUAUGGCCUUUUCCCCACUGUCCUCUUGACCUGAACUUCCCUUCUCAAUGAAGAGACAUUGGCUGGAAAGAACUUCACAGGCAACAUGGAGCCAUCCAGGAUUUCUUCUUUCUUAAUCUUUUCAGAUCAGCACAAUUGUAUUUCCACUGAGUAAAUAUUUUGUCACUUUCUUAAAACAGAAGAUGCUCCUGGGUCAGUGGAGAUGCAAGUUGGCAGGGUGGAGGGGCUUUACUGGAUAUCUUUGAUUGUUGGUUAUUUCCUGACCAUGAGUAACAAAAUCUAAUGGUCAUGCGCUCUCUAGUGCAGCACACAUUGAAGACAUUUUCAUGUCCUUGGAUCUCAUUUAAGCUAUUCUCCCUGUUCUUGAAACUGAGGCUCAGAGAACUAAAAUGACUUGCUAAAAUAUUUGCAUUCAUUGAGCAAAUAUUUAUGAAUCAUCUACUAGGGAACCACAUACUCUAGUUGGCUGCAGGCAUUUUGGGCUGAAAAGUAGCAGUGUUCCUGGUCCUCCUGGCACUACAGGCUGCACCUGGGCUUCCUGAGAGUGGGAGGAUAUGACAAACUAAGCACAGAAUGGAACUGAGAACAAAUAUAGCAUUUCUCUGCAUGCUACUUUCCAAGUAAACAAAGCUGUCUUUUAGAGAUUUUCUGCCUCAUUGAGAUACACAUUGGAGCUAAGGCUCAGCUUUCAUCAACAGGGGCAUAGGUGCUCUGAUCCCCACAUGGCUGGCUUAGUACUUCACAGUACAGCCAGGUGAGUUAGCAGUGUGCAGAGAACCUCCAUGACUAAAGGGAAUAUUACCUAACCCUUGGAAGAUUCAGAAAACUCUCAGAAAUUUUGCUGAGUUUUGAGGAAAAAAUUAAAUGAUAUAUAUUAAAAAGACUUUAAAGGGAGGGUUAAAACAUUUUAAAUGGAAUUUGCACUCUCCUGUUUUCAAAAAAGAUUCAAGAGAAUCUUGAAUGAUAAAACAAAUAGAGAAAGAUGAGUAAAAAAUAAAAAUAAAAAGUAAACAUGUACUGAAAAGGGAGACAAAGCCAUAAAAUGAAAUUUGUUCUAAGAAUGACUGCUGAAUCAUGUAUAUGGGUCACAUCUAGUUCCCUGGUAGAGAGAGGGAAAGGUGAAAUGUUAUGAGUUACAUGGUUUUUAUUCAUCAGUUAACCAAAUAAAGCACAUUAUACAGCUGUAAAGAGAUAUACGUCACUCCAUGCUGGAUUCCAGAGGGCAUCUUUCCUACCUCUCCAUAUAAAACAUAAUGAACACAGGUGGGGAUCUUCAACAGUUUUAUAUUUAACUAGAAAUAUUGUCCAUGUGGUCAUUUAUCAAGCCUAGCAUUAUUUUUAAGAGCCUCUGAAUUUUCAUGAUUUCUGAGUCUUCUAAAAUGCUUACUGAUAGACCGUGCUGGCAAUGAAAAUAACAGAAUGUUGAGGAACUGUUUUUAGGGACAGUUGUUAACUAACUUGGCUUUGUGAGUCCUUGAGGUGGGUGGUUUCCAUUUGUGGGCAAAGUUCUCAAAUGCCAUCUAAUCCAUACCAUCCACCUUGCAAGACCAGCAGCUGACUUGAUGUUUCUGAUUGUCAUCUUGCUCUGGACAGUUCUGCCUCCCACUCUGUCAUGUGUUAUCAUAUCACUCACCCCCGGCAUAAGCCAGGUAGCUUGAAUACUACCCACCUCCACAUUCCUGAUAUCAUAUAAUAGAUUCAUGUCUGGUGCUCCCUAGUAGGGUCACCUGGGACAAAUAUCCAGCAUC